CCUCCUAACUAUUCCAAGAUAGUUGUUUCAGUGAUUUAAGUAUCUUUUUUCCUUCCAGUGAUAACAGAGGAGUAAUAACAGAGGAGCAUUCAGGGCUUCACCACGGCUGCAGAAGUUUCAGAGGGUAGUGGGGCCAGGAAUUCCUUGUGUCCGGCCUUCACCGUUGGUGAGGCUGGGCUGAAUGAAAGGAGAACAAAUGGAUUUGUUGCUUUGCUUAUAUGCCCACGCGGACCGCCCAGAAGGCAGAAAGAUUUCAGAAGCAGUAUGACAGACAGAGUGAGAGCAAGACUGUCAUCUGGAAAUCCCCCCAGUGUCACCAUGAGAGAGAGAAAAAAAAUGCAGCCCCUGCUCACAGCUUCAGGCUGAACACAUACCAGCGCAGGGCCUCCACAGCAGUGCUGCCUGCCUGACUAAUCUUCAGCCCACCAGUGAUUCAUCCAUACGAAGGCGCUCAUGAGGACCCUCCACCUCCACCCCGGAAUCCUCCCCAACAACUCUCUCCACUGCCAGCCACCUCAUCCUGGCCCCCCACCCUGCUUCUUUCUCCCCACCCAUGUCAGGGCUCAGAGGAGCGAAUGCAUUAGGGACAUCAUCCCCAGCCCAUCUCGGCAAGAGCUGAGGGUAUCCUAAGACCCUCAGAACAAGGGCCUUGGAAUUGGGUAGGGCAUGGGUCAAGCACGAGUCCCUUUGCUUGUUGGCUGUAAGCCUUCAACAUGUUCAUCACUUUCUUUAACCCUUGUUUUCCUCAUCUGUGAAAUGGGCAGAUAAGUGUACUAAUCUUUGAGUGAGCUUGUGCAGACUGAUAAUGUGAGGCAUAUAAAACAUGCUGCACCUAGAAAGUGCCUUAAAUGAGGCAGUUAUUAGUGUCAUCAUUAUCACACCCGAGGACUCAGCUCCACUCAGAAACUUAGGUCAUCUCAGCUCACCACGAGCAGCCCCAGACUUGUCUUCCAUGAUCUGUUCCUGCUGUCUCACACCCCACCCCCUUUACUCACUCUCACUAGAAAGUUCCAAGAGCAUGCCAUUCCUGCUGUGGUGACUUGGCUCUAGCGGUUCUGCUGGUCUAGAAUCUUCUUCUUCUCCCUCUUACCCUCCUUCCCUUUUGCCUGGCUAAUCUCUCAUCCUUGAGGUCUCAGCUUAGAUGUUAUUCCCCAAGGAAGCCUUGCUGAGCCCAUUUCUGCCUCCCUCUAACUGCUGUUAAAUGCUGUACCUCCUUGGAACACUGUCCACAGUCAUAAUCACAUCAUUAUGAAUUAACUAUUAUUUUGCAUUUACUAUAAGCUCCACAAGGACAGAAGCUGUAUCUCAUGGUGGCCUCAUUGCCUAGGAAAUGGCUUGGCAUAUAAUGUGAGUGAAAGAAGAAAAGGAAGGAAGGAAAAAGAAGGAGAGAAACUGAUUUGAGGGUAUAUGUGGACCAUCUAAAUCAGUACCAUUCCAGGUCCAGUUGCGUGGGCUCAGCUCGGAGGACCAGACUUCUGUACCAACUAACUUUUCUACAUAGGCUGAGGCCUGUUCCUGGAUUGCAGCCAGCUUUGUCCAGCCCAACACCAUACCAACGUCUUCUACACCAUUCUUUGGAGGAUUCAAUGCUCCUUUGAAACCCACCAGCACCACCUGAGGUCCUCCUAGGCACAAGCAUAACUGCCCACAUUGCAACUCAGCCACCUGCCCGCCACUGUGCUGCAAUUCCUCCACCAGGAUGCCCACUGUUAAGCCUGAUCUGACCCCUGGGCUGCCCUCCCCACCUUGGACCUCAGCUAAAUCCCGUGCCUUGAAGGCAUUAGACACACAGGCCCCGUCUGCAGAGGCCACAGGUCUGUCCUUCCAGGCUGAGUGGCUAAAGUCUGAGGCCUCCAGUCCUGGUUUGUAGGGUGUAAGGCUCAGGGACACCAUCUGCAGCACCCCUGGGCUUGUCAAGGAGCCAAGUUUUCAGUGCUGCCUCCUGGGAGCGCUUCUCACCAACUUCCCACAGAAUAGCAUAGAAACAUGACAUUUCUCUGAAUUCUGUUUAUUUGUUGGUAUAUGUUUGCAAUACAAUAAUUCAUCUUGGGGAAUUAGUACAUAUACAUAUCCCAUCUUAAUCAUUUUUACUUUGUCUCCUUCUCACCUCUCUCUCCAUUCCCAGAUCCAUUUCCCAUUCAUGAAUUUUUAAAUUAACUCAUUUGAAAAAUAUUAAUUUUUCAUGAAGUAUUUUACCUGCCCAAAGCUACCUACCACACCCCCUCCAUCCCCACCACACACAUUUUAGUCUUGCUGGAUCUGUGCAAAUCCCAAUAUGCAACUCUUCCCGGGGGAAAUGCUUGCCCGGUCCAAUGAACCUAAGUAACAGUCUUUGGAGCCUCAGUGCAGUGCACAGUGAAGUCCUGGCCAUCUCCCAUCCCAUUUACCCCACCCCUAGCUCUCUGACCUCACAGGAAGAGGGGAGGAUGACAAAGGCCAGCCCAGAGUCCUCCCAGAUCAUCAGGUAUGUAACCAAAGGCGUGGUUGUGUCCAUCUGGCAAAGGUUUUGGGUUUUGAGGGGAAAGCCAGGUGCUUUCUAGGAAGGAAGCACACCUCAUUAGCUCAGCCGGCUCAGCUCUUGGGCCGUGUGGGGUGAUGGGUAGAGAGAACAAACAGAAAAGCGAGGCCAAGGCCAAAUUUCCUGAAUGAGAGAAGCUGGGGCAGCGGAGGGGCUGGAAGAAGAGCAGCGUGACAGGAAGUUGAGCGAGAGGAGAGGCAAGGGAAGAUGAGAACGAGGAGGGGAGGGGAUGCAGCAGCUGUAGGGGUAAAAUUGCUCUGUGACACAAUCUGUGCCCUCUUCCUCACCAGCACUCUUCCUUGGUGUUUCCAGAAUCACCUCUAGGUUUUCGGUUCCCCAUUGGCACAAGUCAGCAGGUGGGGAAGUCCUCACCUGGGUGCAGGGUGAGCGAAUUUGGGGACAAACAGUAACACAGGUGUUUGUUUGCUUCGAUGGUGGCACAAUCAUUUUUUAUUGGUAUAAAGACUAAAGGAGAAAAACACAAUCUGUGAAAAUGAAAAACACAAAGUUCCCCUGAGACCCACCAGGUCAAUAUUAUUUUUCUCAUCCUCGUUAUUAUUACUUUCAAAUCCUGACUGAAUCAUUGAGUGGAGUGUUUUUAACCCAGGAGCCGGGGAUAGCUCCAAGACAAAGGAGAACCCCAAUCUUUGGCGGGCCACAUCGUACCAGCUGAUCGCUGCUUUCUUGUGGUUCAGUUAUCAGGAAAAGCAAACAAAGACCCAGCCGUUCUGAAGAAUGUUUUCUGGGCCCUUCUCAGGAAGAGCCAGGGGUUAGGAAGAGUGCCCUGCUUCGUGGGAGAGCUGGCCCAAGCGCCACACCAUGGGCGGCAUGCCACACUUAAACGCUUAUAAUUUAAUUCAAGAAAAUGCAGCGCUGAGCCAACAGCAAUAGCUUAGGAUUUGGGUGAGUCAAACGUGCCGAAGAGCAGUCAGUGUGCAGGCGACAGAUGGGGGCGGGGAAGGCCUACCUCAGCUGCAGUGGAGAAAGGAAGGCUGAGGACCUCUUCCACUUUAGAGCACGUGGCUUUUCUCUGAUUGGUGGCCCUAACGAGGAAGGUCUAAAUCUGCAGGCUUCUGAGCCUGGCGGUCAGGCAUGGUCACUUUAAAAAUAAACUCCCGUGACUGUAACCCUGGCUUAGCAUGUGCAUUUGCAGGCUUGGCCACAGCUACAAUUUGCAUUCACCAAAAAUAGUCAUUUCAACAUCUGGAAGUGAGACUAAGAAGGGUGAGCCAAGUUCAACGUCUCACUCUCUUGCUGUUGUUCUCCUCCAGGAAAUCAAGCAAAUCACCUCAGCCCUGUUCCCUUCAUUCAACAAAAAUUGAUUGAGGACCAUUUAUGCACUGUGGUGGGACCUAUAGCCCAACAGUGAACAAACCUCGGGCCUGGCCUCAAGGACCCUCAAGUCUUGUGUCUACUCAUGUCGUGUGGCUGCUCUAACAAAGGAUCACUAAGCGGCUGGUUGGAAAUAACAGAUUUUUUUUUCAGUCUCACAGUUUGAAAGACUGAAAGUCUAAAAUGUUGCCCUAGUGCCCUAGGGAAGAAUCCUUCCUGGCCUCUUCCAGCUUCUGGUGGUUGCUCACGAUCUUUGGCUUUCCUCCCUGGUCUUUGCCUCUGUUUUCACCUAACUUCCCCUCUGUGUGCCUAUGUUUCUGUGCCCAAAUCUCCUUCUUACAAGGACCUCAAGUCUUCUUGGAUUUAGGGCCCACCUUAAUUCAGCAUGACCUCAUCUUAAAGGGUUACAUCCGUAGAGAUCUUAUUUCCAAAAACACUCACUUUCUGAGGUUCCAGAGGAACAUGAAUUUGGGGUGGAAGGGCAUUGUUCAACCACACAAGGUGUCAAAUGGUAAAGCAGUGUGGCAGUUAGGGCGGAGUGGCAGCUUGAUCGGCUUUGGGAUUCACCCAGGGCGUUGGUGGAGCACAUUUGAUGUGUCUGGACAGUCAUGGAGAUGUAGCCUUGGAGUUUGUGUCUGGUCCCUCUCCCCUUCCUCUCUGGCGCUGUUCCCCUGAGCUGCUUCCCUGCUGCCAUGAACCAAGUAGCUUUGUUCUGCCACACCUUUCUGCCAUGAUGUUUCUGCCUCAGAGCCAGCUGAUCACAGACUGAAUAUUCUGAGACCAGGAGCCAAAUUAAACCUGUCCUCCUUUAAAUUGUGGGUGUUGCAUAUUGUGUCUCAGUGACAGGAAAACUGACUAAUACAUCCAGUAAACACAUUUAAAUAGAUAUGGGACAGGAUUAUAUGGCAAGUAUUAACAGGGCUGUUUUCCUUAUAGUGCAUCUCUAUCCUCCUUCUCACUGGUGCACCAACCAAGUCAACACACAACAAAGCAGAAAGAAAGGUGAAAAGCAGCACACCUCCUGGUUCCACAGGGAGACCUUGGAGGCAAGCAGCUUGCUGAGGCUGGUUUUCCUCUCCCAGAGACCACAUAAGCCCAGGCUUGGAUUCAAGAGAAUGAGAAAACUGAGGUCCCGAGACUUCGUCACAUCAAGGCCCGGGCCCCAACUCCUGGGGCGCCUUGGAUCUUUCCCGCUGCAUCAAGAGGUGUAAGCUGAGACCAAGCACAAAGGCUAGCCCUGAUUAACUCAUCCAACCAGUUUCAUCACAGAACCACAGAGCUCCCCCUGCACCAGCCCUGACAUGGGGGAGACAGUGCUUGGUUCCUUCUCCCACCCAGGACUUUGAGAAGAAAAUGGAUGUGAAUUUGUCAUUCCUCCAAGUCCAAAUGAACUCUUGAGCCAGCACUGAAUAAGGAAAAUGCACACCCCAGUUCAGUGAAGGGGAGAAAACGAACACUGGGUUUUGCAGCCCCUCUUAUUCUCCCUCCUUGAGAAAUCAGGGCAUCCAAGUCUCCCGUGGGGAAGGGAAAAUGGGAAGCAGACUUUUCCUGUCUUCUUUUCAGUCUUGGCAGCUGGAAUCUUACUGGACAUGUUAGUCACCCUUGCCUGAGACAGGCCACCCUUUCCUGAGAAAGGACAACAUUUCAUUCAAGAGAGGGCCCAGGGAUACCCCCACCAGGCCCAUCCUUCAAGCUCUGUGUCUUCCCCACACUGAGCUCUUUCAAGUUUGGUGGUAUCAUUCCAAAUGACUUAGGAGAUUCUUUUUUUUGGAAGUUCCACCCCAUGGCCUAUCAAACAUAAUAAAAAUCAUCCACAUCUCAUGCGUUAAGAGUUUGACCAAUGUGCCUAAGUAAUAUUUGUUAGUAUUCUGGCUGUAAAACAUUUGACUUUUAUAAUUCUGCUUU
This is a non-coding RNA of Heterocephalus glaber (naked mole-rat), 5755 nucleotides long. Lineage: Eukaryota; Metazoa; Chordata; Mammalia; Rodentia; Bathyergidae. The record is from RefSeq and is a predicted model, not a curated record.